Molecule: long non-coding RNA, 3142 nt
Filed under: Sus scrofa (pig)
Lineage: Eukaryota; Metazoa; Chordata; Mammalia; Artiodactyla; Suidae
Description: lncRNA (ENSSSCG00050006503.1)
Source: RNAcentral
UUUUUUUUUUUUUUUUUUUAUUAAAGUAUAGUUGAUUUACAGUGUUUUCAGGUGUACAGCAAAGUGAUUCAUUUACAUAUAUGUACAUAUUCUUUUUCAUAUUCUUUUCCAUUGUGGGUUAUUACAAGAUGUUGAUAUCGUUCCCAAUGCUAGACAGUAGGUCCUUGUUGUUUAUCUAUUUUAUAUACAGUAGUGUGUAUCUGCUAACCCCAAAUUCUCAAUUUAUCCCUCUCCCAUCAAUAAUUACAUGUUUUUAACUUUGCAAUUCCAGCACUAAUUCAGGGUAGGCAUCAAUAAGAGCUUAUUGGAUUGGGAAUUGGGUUUAAUUUCAUUAAACUUUUUUUUUUUUUUUUCUGAAGAAAGGGCUCAGUUACUGAAAGUGACUUCCCCAAGGUCCCUCAGGUAAGCAGGAUUUACCUGUACCAGAACCCGAGUCAGCACACCAUGCUGCUAAGCUCUGCAGACCAUACAAGGCUGCUCAAUUUGGUGUAAGUCUCUUAAAACCUGUCCUGGGCAACUGCUACAGUCUUUGCACAUAUCACUUUCCUUAGAGCAGGUAAGUGGGCUGUGUGUUGUUAGCAUAAUAGCAUCUCUUUAAUGCCUUUUGAAAGGAGCUCGGAAAACUCUUCCGUUAGAGAGGGAAGGGAAGGUGCAGGAGAAAACCUUCUCCCAAGCAGGCCUGUCUUAGCAGUACCUCCCAAGUUUCAAUGUGCAGUUUCAAGGUUUCACUACCACCAACGCGUUGCUGUGGAGACGCAGCAACAAACACUGGGAGACUGGUAACCCCUCCCCACUCCCACCCCCCACCAAGCCUAGUAAAGAAUGUUUGGGACAAGGCUCCUGCCCAUCAGGCUGCUGUUUCCCGCUGAAUGCAGCCUUUGUGACCGGCCUCCUGGCCUGCCACCAGGCUCCAAAGAGAUGACUCGGCCCAGAUCUUUCUAAAUAGUGUUUGUGUUUUAGUUGUCCACAAGGGGGUGGGGGCGGGGGAGUUCUACAUAACUGUAAGGCAACCAUCCAGCUUGUGGCUGAUUGGCAAGACAAAAAUAAUGCUGUCUCACUUUGCAAAUGCCCUAGGAGAGCCUUGCAGGAACAAGUCCAGGGAGCCCUCCCCGUGCAGGGAGCUCUGGUCUCAUAGGGUCUUUGUGACUUCAAGGCCAAAGAAGUCUGUGCGGCCACUCCCAGCUUACCGGUGAGGAAGUUCAGGCUCAAGGAGGGGCCACAAGUUGCUUCGGGGCAUCAUGCUAGCUAGUGAUGCUGCUGAGGCUGAAAUGUCCCAUCAUUAUGGAUUUUAUUGAUAUUUUUGUAAAGUUCCCUAGAUUUCUAUUGCACAAGGGCUGGCAACUUUUCAGAGCCUCUCACCUGGCUCUGUGCUGAGUCAAUUUUGGAAGAAAUAGAAUACAGUGAACCAGAGAAAUGAAGCCUUAGCUGGGAGUUUGUGUUAUUUGCUCAUGGCAACUUGAUAGGCCUCCUUAUCACGGCAGGCCAGGCAUUGUGUGAUCUUACCAGAAUGUGCAGGCCUACCAUCUGGCUCCAGCUCAGUUUGGGGGGAUGGAGGUGGUGAAGGAAACUUGACUUAAUAGCAGGUGUUACUUUGAGGGCUAGAAAGGUACCAUUGUCUCUUCUGCAAUAAACUGCCUGGUUUUCACCUGCUGGCAAGUCACAAAUUCGCUUACCAUUAAAAUACCAGGUUAUUACUUCACUAAUGUAAUAAGUCUUUAUUAAGUGCCUACUGAAGGUCAAGCACUGGGCUGGGCAUUGGGGGCAGAGAAAUGAAUAAUAUUUGUUUAACAAGUAUUGAUUGAGUGCUCUGUGCCAGGUACUAUGUUAGGCCCUGGGGACAGCACUCUUUUCCUCUCCUCAAGAGAGUUGCUUGUGCAUAAGUCAAGUAAACAGAUACUUGCACUUGUAAGUUUAAGAUGCUAGGGGAGCACUCUGAAAGGGCGUGUAAAUUAGUCUCAGUCUGUACUGUUCACCUUAGGAGCCAGCAGCCACUUGAAAUGUGCCUGGUCUGAAUGGAGAUGCUUGUACAUGUAAAACACACACUGCAUUUCAAAGUCUAAGUAUGAAUGAGUGAAGUAAGUCAGACAGAGAAAGAGAAAUAGCAUAGGAUAUCACUUAUAUGUGGAACUGAGAGAAAUGAUGCGGAGAUACUAAUUUAUAAGACAGAAAUAAACUCACAGACAUAGAAAACACACUUAUAGUUACCAAAGAGGAAGGAGGGGAGGAGGAGAGAUAAUGGGAAUUGGCAUUAACAGAUCCACACUGCUGUAUGUGAAAUAGAUAAAUAGCAAGGCCUUACUAUACAGCACAAGGAGCAACAUUCAAUACUUGUAAUAACCUAAAAUGGAAAAGAUUCUGAAGAAGAAUAUGUAUACAUAUGUGUGUGUAUACAUACACACAUAUAUACGCACACAUAUAUACAUACACAUACACACACACAUAUACACACACACACACAUAUAUACACACAUAUAUACACACACAUAUACAUACACAUACACACACACAUAUAUACACACACACAUAUAUACAUACAUAUAUACACACGCAUAUACAUACACAUACACACACACAUAUAUACAUACACACAUACACACACACAUAUACAUACACAUAUACACACACAUAUACACACACACAUAUAUACACACAUAUACACACACAUAUAUACACACACAUAAAUACAUACACAUAUAUACACACACAUACACACACAUAUAUACAUACACAUAUACACACACAUAUAUACACACACAUAUACACACAUAUAUACACACACACAUACACACACAUAUAUACAUACACAUAUACACACACAUAUACACACACACAUAUAUACACACAUAUGUAUACACACAUGUACACACACAUACACACACAUAUACAUACACAUAUAUACACACACAUAUACACACACAUAUAUACAUACACAUAUACACACAUAUAUACAUACACACAUAUACACACACACACACAUAUACACACACAUAUACACACACACACAUAUAUACAUACACAUAUAUACACACACAUGCACACAUAUAUACAUACACAUAUAUACAAACACACAUAUACACAUACACAUAUAUGUAUAACUGGAUCACUUUGCUGCAUACAUGAAACAUUGUAAGUCAUCUAUAUU